Molecule: ribosomal RNA, 242 nt
Filed under: uncultured bacterium
Lineage: Bacteria
Description: partial 16S ribosomal RNA
Rfam family: Bacterial small subunit ribosomal RNA
Source: RNAcentral
GAUAAACGCUGGCGGCGUGCCUAACACAUGCAAGUCGAACGCCCUUACGCAAGUAAGGGAGUGGCGGACGGGUGAGGAACACGUGGGUGAUCUGCCUUGAGGUGAGGAAUACCGGCGAGAAUACGCCGACAAUACCGCAUACGUUCGCAAGAACAAAGUACGCAAGACGCCUUGAGAUGAGCCUGCGUCCGAUUAGCUAGUUGGUGGGAAAGCGUACCAGCAGCGAUCGGUAGCUGGUCUGA